UACGGAGGGUGCGAGCGUUGUUCGGAAUUACUGGGCUUAAAGGGCGUGUAGGCGGGAUGAAAAGUGUCGAGUGAAAUCCCCGGGCUCAACCCGGGAAUGGCCCGGCAAACUGGCAUCCUUGAGGCAGGUAGAGGUGACUGGAACGACUGGUGGAGCGGUGAAAUGCGUAGAUAUCAGUUGGAACGCCGGAGGCGAAAGCGGGUCACUGGGCCUGUCCUGACGCUGAUACGCGAAAGCGUGGGGAGCGAACAGG
RNAcentral lists this ribosomal RNA (253 nucleotides) under uncultured bacterium. RNAcentral's name for it is "partial 16S ribosomal RNA". It matches the Rfam family "Bacterial small subunit ribosomal RNA", at positions 524 to 776 of the family's 1533-position model. The record is from RNAcentral.